AGCCAGUGUGGCAUAGUGGUUUGAGCAUUGGAUUGCGACUCUGGAGACCAGAGUUUAAUUCCCAGCUUGGCUA
RNAcentral lists this transfer RNA (73 nucleotides) under Phrynosoma platyrhinos (Desert horned lizard). RNAcentral's name for it is "tRNA-OTHER". The record is from RNAcentral. Lineage: Eukaryota; Metazoa; Chordata; Lepidosauria; Squamata; Phrynosomatidae.